CUUCUGCUGCUAAGAGUACACCAAAGCACGAAUAAAGAACUUGUCGAAGUACGAUUCAUGAAGAGCAGCAUUGACAACAAACGUAUGCGUUUCGGCUACAAAGGUGCCUCUUGUGACGUGUUUGCAGUAGACAAACAACUGGUGUAAGUGGUGAACAGGUGCGGGACACACCAUCAAGAGUCAGCCGUGUGUCCUUCAGUAACUACGACUUCCUUCCCUGUCUUGCAGUCAACAUUGCGUGAUGUUUUUGUGAUUGGUUGUUGGAAAACGACGACAACUGACAUUUGGCGGUUCUUCUGAUCACUUGCGCUUUCAGUCAGUAAAGCUGUUCAUACUUUCGCUAAGUGGCUCGUCCCUUUCAACAGGUUAUGGGCCCAGGGCGCGUUGAUCGUCGGUAAUCGUUCAACCGGGUCUGCUCGUCAUCUCCUGCUGCGUCGAGUUGGAAAUUGCAGAAUGAAGCAAAUUCUCUGUGGCGAAGCUCGUUGACGGCAAGUACCAAGUAUGGAAGUUUAAGAUGAAAAUGCUACUCAUCCGGGGGGCACCUGGUCGUACGUUGCGAGUGACGUCGCAGCGGAUACAACGCCUGCAUGGAUCACCGGAGGCAGUAAGGCCCAGAGCACAAUCUCCCUGAGCAUCGAUGACAGACAGAUCGUGCACGUCUGUAACUGUACGUCAGCGAAGCAGAUGUGGGAGGAGCUAAAGAAGGUUCACGAGCGGGCAAACUUAAGCAACAAGCUUUAUUUACUCAGGGAGCUAUGCCAGUCACGUGUGGAAAACGAUGAAGAUAUAUUGACUUACAUCAGGCGAGUUCUGGAGUUAGUAGAGCGGCUUAGAGGCAUCGCGCAAGAAAUCACCAAUUUCCAAGUGGCUGCUCUUCUUCU
Molecule: long non-coding RNA, 881 nt
Organism: Ornithodoros turicata
Lineage: Eukaryota; Metazoa; Arthropoda; Arachnida; Ixodida; Argasidae
Exons: 3
Source: RefSeq, a predicted model, not a curated record